CUCUUGCCUGCCUGACCCUUCCCACCAUCCUGGUCCCUGACUAACACGCUCAAACGUGACAUAGCAACUGCACCCCGUCAUUCCCACACAACAACACACCGCCUGAGGAUAUGCUGUGUGUACAUAUAUGCGUCUAUGUGCAACCUUUUACGCUCUGCGUAACCACUCUGGUGCUGUUGUCGUCUCCUGUGGGAUUAUCUUUAUAUACGUCAGUUUGUUUUAUUUAAACAUCUGGCACUGAUGUUCGGUCCUGAUGUGUUCACUCUGCUUUGGGAAAGAAAAGAGUGUGUGUAGGGGGGAGUCGUUUUAGCAUUAAAGGUCUCCCAGAGAAAAAACAUGACAUCUUUGAGACAAGAGAAGAGAAACAGACCAAAAGAGAGAGGGGGGAAAAAAGCAGUAUCAGAUUUUCCUUCACACACAGCUGGAGAGCUUUAACUUCCUGUGAGAAACGUGUGUGAAAGACGGAUGCAGAGCACCACCACAACCAUCACUGUAACAAUCACACCCACACACAUACUAAACACACACAAACACUCAUAGCCAUGCUGUGUAAAAAUGGAGCCUGAAAAUCCCCGUCUGACACACUGCAAUUCUUAGGUACACAACAACCUCUCAUGCUUAGGUCUUUAGGGAACAAUUCAGUUGUUCCAAUAAAAGUCAACUUGUGGUCACUUAAUCACCUUUGGGAACUCACUGAUGUUUGAAUUUACCAAAGCUGAGUUCGUUUAUUUCAAUGACUGGCAACUUGGAGCUCCUAAAAGGUUUAUACACUUUUAGAAAAGGUGAUGAUACAGGAGUGGUUAUGUGGUUAAGUUGUCUUUGGAAGGAAAUGUAUGGCUGUUUUUUUCCCACUGCAAAUUCAUAUCCACAAGAACUGGCCCACACAUGAGCCAACAAAUCUUGUGGAUCCAGUUUAUUUUCCUCCCUCAGAAGCAAUUAGAAUGGUCAUAAUGACAACAAUAACAGCAACUGCAAUUACACCAUUGUUAUGUUAAACAUUAACAUGACAUUUAUGAAGGUGAAAAUUCUGCACCAUGAUGAAAUUUACAUAUAUACCACAGCACUGCUGAAUUUUCGAAUAUGAUUGGUCAAAAGGUGUUGAUUACUUUUCUAUGCCAGCAACUCUGACUGUAGUUCCAGCUGUCAAAUUAUACAUUACAUUUAUAUUUAUGGCAUUUGGCAGAGACCCUUAUUGAGAGAGACUUACAUUUAUCUCAUUUAUGCAACUGAGCAGUUGUGCUCAAGGGCACUCAUCCUGAUAUGCUAUUGUUUCUAUAGUAACAACUUACACAGACUUGUGCUGCAGAUGCUUCACAUAAACAGAAUAAACACAUGUCUAAUUGUUGAUAUGGUGAAGUUUUCUCUUUUCUUUGUUUAGGGAAGGAGUCUUCAGUGUCAGCACUUUGUAACAUUCAGAAGUAAAGCAGUUCCUAUAAGGUGUAAGACAUGAAAGUCUUCAGGUCUCAGGACUUUUAAGUUUCUUGGUAACACAACAAGCUGCAUUUUUUUAAAUUUCAUUAUUAUUAUUGGUAGUAGUAGUAGUAUUUAAUAUUAUCUUAUUAAAUUUCGAGAAUACGACAACAUGAAACUGUGGUAUGAGAGGAAUAAAACACUUAGGACAUGCUGUUAUAGGAAUCUCCAUCAUUGGCUAUUUUCCUCUAACACCACACCCCAUCGUUUUUAUUCUUUACUUAAAUAUCAAUUAAUUGCUAAAAAAAAUGAUGAAAUUAAAACAACACUGAAAGUAUAGUAUCUACUGGUGUUGCGUAUUGUGAUGCAGUUUGCCAUAACCAACAGUGGUGUUAGUCUCACUUCCAAGUGCCAUUAGUUCCUGUCUUUUCUGACUUCAGAUCACACAACUGAAACAAUUGGCCUGCAGUAGUGCACUGGUGGCAGUGUAAAAAGGACAGUUUCAGUUUUGUGGUGCCAAAUGUCCUGGAACAUUGUUCAAACAACAGUGCCCUUUGAUAGAUGUUUUCACUGGUGCAUUUAACUCAGUGAACUAAAAGAAUCUUUCCAUAAUGCAUACAUUUUAAAGCAAACUAAAGGAAAUAAUCAGCAAGCAUUGCUACACUGACUCACGCUUGACUCAGAGGCACUCUUUUCUCGAACCAAUGAACCUGGGACUGCUGACAAAAGCAGUAUUCAAUGAAACGAACAUUGUAAUCCUAUGAGAGCUACAUCUACUUAAACACUUAAUCCAUCAAAAACAAUGAUACCCAGUGAUUUCAUGUGUUGUAAAUAAAAUCAGCAUAUGGAAUAAAUCAUCCAGAAAGAUCUAAAUCUGCAGACAAUAAUCCUGAAGAGGCUGCAAUGUAAGAAGAAGCUGUUGGUGGCCAAAUCCAAACAGAGAGGCAACCUGCCAAAAAACCUGCAAAACACACACACACACACACACACACAUACUGGCUUUUUUUUUUAUCCCCCCUUCCUGCAAUCAUUAGCCAUUUAUACAUGACAGGGCUAAUACAAGUGUCUGUUGCCCCCUACCAUACAAAAUUUUGGCAUCGGUUGUGGGAAAACUGAUCUACUAUGUUCCUGUCAAAACAAACCUUUUUUUUCACCCCUCCAUUCCCCUGAGACAAGACGUCUGCUAUCUAGAAAGCUCUCUGGACCCCCCCUUCCCCCUUCCCCCCACGAGAACCGUAAACCCUGUCAAAUCCAUCACUGACCCAAAACACUUCCAACAUGACGAUCACGCUAUUAGCAGCUCUUAACACAAAUUCUCCAAAUAACAGACAGCAUGAAAACAUUGUUGUUGUUGUUUUUUUCAUUUGUUUCCUUGUUUUAGAGCUAUGCUGCUUCAUUGUUCACAACUAUCAGCAAGUUAUUGUAUGAUUAAAGAUUUAGGAAUAAUAUAUUUCAUACUAUGUUUUAGAUUUGCUUCUACAUAUACACUAUUUACAUAUCAAGCCACAGAGACAGAGAUUUCGAGUGGCCUGAGGAGCAUCUCUAACUUCUAUUCAGAUAAUCAGAAAUGUAAACCACUGCGAAGCAAAGAGCAGGAGACGUGCAUUGAGUACAUUCCAAACAUAGUUUCCCAUUUGCAGGAAAAGAAGGAGAUUUGUAGCUAUGAUACAUUUUAUUUUUCUUUUUGUGCAAAAGAAUAAGAGCCAUCUACAAACAUCUACGACAUCUGUAAAACAUAUCAAAGACAUGGGCAAGCAGUUACAAGUACAUAAAUAGCCCGUAAGUAUUUUCAGCUCAUGCUGGAAAACACAGCAAAAUCGCCAAAAAAAGUGCUUGAAGAAGGUCAUUUCCUGUUAGAAGGACCACUUAAGACCUGACAAAGCACACCAAAACCAGCCGUCUCUCCCCAAUAGCAACAGAAACAACAACAAGAACAUAGCAUGACAUCAGCACUGCAGAUUUUAACCAGCACAUGAAGUAAUUAAAGAUUAAAAAAAAGAGGUUUGUUUACCCCAGGCAGGAGAACGAAGGGUUUUUCAUGGCCUGUGUCUUGCUUUUCUGUCUGCCACAUGGAAUUCCUGCACAUCUUUUCUAUAACGCAUGACUUACAAUGCCCUUGCACAAGAAAUUAAAUCAUGGAUAAGCUGCAUGCGUAGCAUACCAGAGGAAUGGUGCUGACUGGUAAUUCCCAUAAUUCUGCUUUUUUAUAUUUCCAACAAUAACUGACCUGAUCACAGGCUACAAAAAUUUAGCUUCCAGAUGCUGUCACUCUGCAGAACUGACAAGGGCUGAACUCAAGGUGAUGGUUAAUACCUCUGACAUGGACAUGCUCCUACAACCAGCAGAAAUUAGUUUGUGGUAGACCACAGCUAUAGAAAACCUUUGGCUACAGAUCUGCCUGGUGAUAAUGUUUAGUGUCUCCAAAUGAUUUAAAUAAAGUACUAUUCAUUUCUGGACAUAUGUCUAUUAUCAAUUUUGCACAGGAUAAGUUUUUUGUAUAUGUAUAACAAAACAAGUUAAAAAAAACUUAGUGACUGGUGACCUACUCAUACACGGAACAGAUGUUUUCUGGAAAAUCACAGAAUGAUAAAAUCUCUGUUUAUCUGGAAUACACACAAGUGUUUUUUUUUUCUUUUUGUUUUUUGUUUUUGCUCUCUCUACACAUGCAAAACCUCAGGUUCUGUUUUGGAGUUGAUAAAAAACUAUGGCUCCUUUCAUCAAACCUAGUCAUGGUGUUUUAAACCAGUAAAGAAAUGAGUGUGUGGUAAAUCAGAGGUUUGGGUGUUUUCAGAUGUGGCCGCAUAUCUGUUCCCCUCCAAGCUUGUUACGGAUAAAUUGUUGGCAUGAAAUGUGUUUGAGAACCAUUUAAAUUAAAAGCCCAGAACAGUUUAAUUGCAAUGGAUCGUCCCUCCUUAUUUAAUAAAGUGCCAUAUAUCUUCAUAUUUACAGCCACAGGUCAUAGUUUCUCGCUCUCUGCUCUCUCUGACUGUGCUCAGCUGCUGAGGAGGACAGCAGCGCCAGAGACAUGUCAUCUGAGAAUUACAGAAAGUUCCGUCUGUGAAGAAGGCACCGGAUGCAGGGGCCCAGGGAAUGAGCUGCACCCUUCAACCGCCGGCCACAUCUGGUCCAUAUGACACCAGUUCCCAGAAAACACCCUUGCAUUAGCGAUAUGUUGAAAUACAGCCUUCAGUGCUUGACUUUGUUUAUAAAAUCACUUCAUUUAGACUCACUAUAUAAUAAAUUUAGCAAUCAUUUAUAUACACAAUAUGUAAUAUUGCUGUCAUAAUUUUGCAUAUUUGUGUGACAGCUGUCAUAAAAUGGUCCUGUAGAUAGUUAAUCUUUUACACAGUUGUACAUUCCUCAUUCUUAUAACAACACUGUGCAAAAUAAUAUAUAAUCAAGUGAAAAUAUAUUGAAUAUAGGCAAAUGUGUGUGUAUAAUAUGUCUCAUUAUGAAAGGAUUAUAAAAUGUAUAUAAGAUGAUUAUGUGUAUUUCCUUUCCAAGAAAAUCAUAUUGUAUUGGCAGAUCAUUUGGCUUCUUUAUAGAAAGAAGCAAGAUGACUGAAUAAGCAAAGCUACUCAAUAACUCCUAAUUCUUACUAAAUAAUAUACCUGAAUUGUACUAAAUUUAAAGCUAGGACAUUAAGGUGUUUAGGGUUCUUAGCUUUCUAAAGAUGAACCCUGUCUGAUGUAAUCUUCUUUAAAGAGGGAUCCUCCAAAUGAACAAACUGAAUCAUGCUUUAGAGUUCUAGAUUUAACCUUUUUGUCUAUUCAUUAGUAGAACCAUUUCAGGUGGUUUAAGCUAAUUUCAGCUCUUUUUCUUCACAAACAAACACACAUUGAGCUCUAACAACAACCCCUCACAGACUGCCCUAAAACUCUACUUCUUGCCAGCACCCCGAUAAUCCUGUGAGAACCUCAGCACGCCCCCAUGCAUCAAAAAAGAGUGAGCCAGGGACCUAGGGAGUGAGGGAGGGGAAGAGGCUGAAAAAAAAAUAGCAGCUGAACACAAUUACUGCUCUGGCAUUAAAUCCCCUUUUCCACUUCCACAAACAUAGCAAGGAAAAAUGUAGGGAAAAAAAUGAAAGAUGAGGAAGUCGGGUUUUGCUUAAGUUAUUCUGUGGCGCUAGAAAUAGGUUGAUGUGCCAGGUGAUAAUUAAACCCUAAAAUAUUAACCCCCAUUUUCCGAGAUGAUCAUUUAUUAUGAUCCUAUAUUAAUUUAAUAGGUUGCGCAAAACAAGUUAUUGAUGUAGGUAUGAUAAAAGACAUAUUAUAUUAUGUGCUCAAAAUUUUCCAUUGUGCACACAUGGAGCUCUUCCUUGGUUAAUAAAGCACAUUGGUGACACAUGCAAAAGUUAUGCACUGUUAUUGUCUCCUCAGAGUUUUGAGUUACACAGACAUAUGCAGCCACACACACAUAAAAAUACACAAACUGUCCUUUUGACACAUAGUUACUUAUCUCCAAAAGAAAGUCUGAUAAUAUUUUCUUUUGGUCCGCCCACUUUGCUUUCUGACAGGCACUUUUUCUUCCAUGUCCCUGUUUGAUUUGGAUGCGGUGCAGAAAAACAGCACAGCUUUAGACCGAUGAGAAAGAGACACAAUCACUUUUACAAAGCAUAUUUUUUGGUUCCAGAGGGGCGAAGCAUAAUUUUUGGUGCCAAACAGACUGGUUUGAGUAUUUCAGAAACUGCUGAUCUCCUGGGAAUUUCACACACAACAGCCUUUAGAAUUUACAUAGAAUAACUUGUGAAUAAUGAAAAAACAGACAGAUGCAAGCUGACAGGAAGGCUAUGGUAACUCAAAUAAUCAAUUUUUACAACCGAGGUGAGUAGAAAAACAUCUCAGAACACAUGGGCUACAAGAGCAGAAGACCACAUCGGGUUCUACUUCUGUCAGCCAAGAACAAGAAUCUGAGGCUACAGUGGGUACAGGCUCUCCCAAACUGGACAGCUGAAGAUUGGGAAAAGAGCAGCACAGCUGGGGGAGGGGGAGGGGGAGAGCGGAAACAGCUGAUGACGCAGAGUGAGCAUAACUCCCUUCAGAGACAAACUGACACCGCUUCAGCAUGAGACGUUCUCUCAGAAUUGGCAUACCUAUACCCUUAUGUAAGUAUAAGAGAAUUCCUCACAGCACACUACCUCAUUUCUGAGGAACUAACCCAGAAAGCAGAAACUAUUAGAGUAAAAUGGAAGAAAAUGACUUCGGACAUGUUUUCUAUUUUAGAACUAAUAUCUGUGCAGCAGCAUGACCCAAGAGCAGAUUCUUAAACGUGAUCCAUUUAUGUGAUAUUCUUUACAUUCACAAGCUUCCACACAAUGUUGACAUUUCUCAACAUGGCAAAACUCAUCGAAGUUCAGUUUGAGGCUGAAGUGUAAUUGUAGUGUAAUUUUACUUGUACGAGUUUUUCUUAGUGAUUUUGUGACACAUCUGUGGAAAAUGUUGAUAUUCCCAAUAGUUUUGUCUUAUUUUAACUGUCACAAUGCCUUUACAUCAGUGGUUCUCAAAGUGGGGUCCUCCAGGGGUCCAUGAAGCCUAGCCAUGGAGUCUGUGAUUUUUUUAAAUAUAGUUACAACAGAGGAAACCCAAAUUUAUUAUCAAGUUCUUUAGUUAGCCUGUUACUAAAGAAUUCGUCAUGUGACUUGAAUGAGUUUAAUCCCAAACCUCAAACUCAAAAACGAGUAGCGUUCCUUUGGUUGAAAAUUCAGGAUUAGAAAGCUCUAUGGCUCUGAUAACUAUUAUAUACAACCCUAAUGUGGUCUUCUGCUGCUGUAGCUCAUCCACCUCAAGGUUUGGCAAUGUUGUGUGUUCUGAGAUGCGUUUCUGCUCACAAUGGUUGUAAAGAGAAGUUCUCUGAGUUACCGUAGCCUUCCUGUCAGCUCAAACCAGUCUGGCCAUUUCUCCUCUGACCUCCUUCAUCGACAAGGUGUUUCCACCCACAGAGCUUUCACUCAGUGGAUGUUUUCUUUUUUCUCACACAAUUCUGUGUAAACUCUAGAAACUGUUGUAUGUGAAAAUACUCAAAAGCUAUUCUAUGUUGCUUAAUAACAGCGUUCUAAUGACUCUGACGAUGAGCAUAUCGUGUUCACCUUCCUACCACAAAUACACAAGUCCCUUUGGAAUGCACCAAAAUAAUGAAGCCCUACCUUCAUUUCUAGUUCUUCAAGAGGGAGUCAGAAAGAACAGCAUGAUCCAGGCAAAGGGGGAUACGCAUGAGAAAGCAUGGCACUGCCAAUCUCAAAUCCUGGCAAGCCAGAGAUCAGGUGCAGAACAUCUGUGCCAAACAUCUGUACUGCAGCAUGCACAGCUCACGCUAGCCAUGUAGAUGGAUAAAUAAGUAAACAGGAAGAUGCACAAACAUGGAAAAAGUUUUCUGCAAGCAAUAAAGUGCAAAAUGAGUUCCUGCUGGGCUGGAAUGUAUAAGCAGCAGACGUUUUGAGAACAAAAUAUUGAAUAAGAAGCUCUACCCACACACACACAAAAAAGGCAAGCAGCAACACAAACUGGCAUUCUUCCAUAAGGAUCAUCUUACAUCUGUUAGUAUGUAGUAGCAUAGUAGCUAUUAACCCAUGCUCAGGACAAGGAACCAGUUAAGAAGAGGAGCUGUUCAAACAAUUCAUUAACACCAAAACGGUGUCCCAUUCAAACUGGUCUGAGGUUGUAACUGCUUGCCAAACACACUCGUUUAGCGAGAGAGUAAACAUCUUAAAUUUCUCAGGCACUCCUGUGAAAGGGGAACAUGUGUAAAUGCACCCUACUGCGUUUACUCUCUCUGAGUGGCAAAGAGAUGCCACAUAUUUAACAUGCACAAACAAAUACCUGCAUCACAAAUGAUCCCAGCUGCCCAGUGUCCUGGAAAACUGUGGGUUUUCCCAUCUACCAGAAGAAACAAGUUGCCACAACAACACUGACCAUAUACAAAGGCAUCUAAAAAGCAACAAAGAUUAUUACUGUGUUUAAAUUAAAAGUGUGUAUAAUUUCACUGUCGUAAAAGAUGGCACUGAUGCAUCAAACAAUGACACGCAUUCUCUCAAAGGGAUGCUAUGAGUCAGAGUCUGAAACUAAAGUGAAGUUAGGUAGAAGAGUGUGAGCUGUCCAGAUCCUUUCAGUAUUCAGGACACAUUUAAGAGUGUGCUCAGAGUGAACAAUCAGGAAGUCCAUGUUAAUUCCUCACUGUGUUAACAUCUGAAUGUCUCUUACAGCUAAAAUGUACCCCUGUUCUCUCUCUCUCUCUCUCUCUCUCUCUCCCUGUGUACCUGCUGCCUGCAUACAAAGCAUUUAACACAGUUCUCAACAUGUGCAGUGAUUUAAAUUACCCAGAAACAGGAGCAGAUUGUUCCAGUAAAAAUAAUGCACAUAGGAGAGUUCAAGAUGCUUACCUUAAGCUUCUCAGUACUCCGAGUCCUGUUAGCGCGUCAGAUUCUGGACAUGCCUCUGUCUCUGCCUGUCUCUCUGUCUUUCCACUACUGCUCUCUCUCGUGCUGUCUCUGAUUCUCUAAAGUGCCCUGCCUCCCAGUCGCUCUUCUUACAUGUGAGUAACGGUCUCCAAUGCUGUGGAGCUUUGUAGCGUGGAGGCUGGGUCAAAGUCUCUGCUCUGUGCUGACGGAGCGAGUGUGUUUAUCGUUUACACUCCUGAGCCCUGAGAAGAGGGGAGGACCAGACAUCUGUUUAUUUAGUAAGACGACCACUUAAGCUACCAUAAUCUGAAGCUCUGAAACUGAUACUGGGAUAUAACACUGUUUCCUCACUCCAAUGAAUUUCACAGACGGACAAAUUCGAACCAGAUUGACAGAGAGAGAAGGGAAUGAGAGAAAAAUAAAUGAAAAUGCAAAAGAAAAUUGAGUUGUGCACCGAAGCAGUGAAGACGUUUUCUUUACACCGAAUGUUUAUUUGAUCUGUAGACACACACAUGUAAAUAUUAAUGUGGCUGCUUUAUGCAAUAAUAUACUUUUAUCCAAUCCUCACCUUAGUAACCAAAUGGGAAGUUAUUUUGUUUUUAUUAAAUCUGCAGUUUUGUAAAAAAAAAAAAAAAAAAAAUUCCUUGACCAGCUAAAUUUCCCCACAAGGUCAAAGUUAUAAAGAAAAAUUCUUACCCUGAAUGAUAUGAUAUAAUUUCCACACAUGUCCACACACACACACGCACGCCCGCGCACACACACACACACCGGUCUCCUCAGCAACAGAGGUCCAUUUUUGUUUCUUUCCCUGAAAGCACGAGUGGCAGGGAAGUAGAGUACUCCUUGGAUACUGGCAAGUCUUAAAACGAAAGAAGGAAAAGAAAGAGGGAACAUCUGAAAUGAAAAACAGUCUGCAUAAAUCUCGGUCUGGUAGAAAUGUGCAAAAGAUGGGAGAAAAGGAGAUGUUUUGAAGAGGAGUUUGUCAGCUGUGUCUUACACUGACUAGGGCUAGCAUUCACUGCUCCAAACACACACAUACACACUUUCUUUUUCACUCCUGGAUUCUGUCCUGCCUGUGCACUCUCUGUUUCCUUCUCUCUUUUUCUUUGUCCUAGGAAGUCUGCAGCUUGAAAAUUCAUAACAGCAUCCAGCAGCUGAGUAAGGACUUUUCUCUUUAUUGGAGUGGCCAAAACAGGGCCAGACGUAGCAACAGAGAGAGAGAGAGAGAGAGAGAGAGCUGGCAUGCUCACUCCUCUAAUUGUGUGAGUAAAAAAACGAGGGCAGUCAUGAAAGAACAGGCAGUAAUUAGAGAAGAACAGGGCAGUCACUUCUUAUUAGCACUCCUUGGAUCUCUGAACCAUUUUAACCCUUUCAUUUUAACCCUUUCAUCAUCUGUUCAUUUAAUGCAGCUCUUUUGUUUACUGCAAUCCAAACAUGCAAGCACACUGCAGAACAGCUCGGUGAUUUGUGCUUUUGCACUGCGCCUGAUGGCUGAUUAAAGAUAAACAGCUUUGAGUAAAAAAGCCUCUGAAGGACGGAGUAAAGGCUGACUCUUAGUUUACAUGCAGUGCGGUGCUUGGGGUUAAGUCUGCAGUCCCAAACAGUCUGGUGUCCUGACCACUCAGAGACAUGACACACAGACACAACAAGGUUUAUACACUCCACUCUCCCAAAAAGGCUAAAUAUCCUAUUUAACCCUACAACAAAUGGUUCCAUAUAAAGCCCAUUUAGGAUUCAAUAAUUCAAUAAAAGACUCCUUUAGCAUCCUCUACCAUCCUUUUUCUCUUGCUAAGAACAGUUUUCACCCAAGUCUCCAUCAUUGAACAGCUAAUAACUUCAGUCUGAUACAACAGACUUUAAGUUAAAACUAUAAUGAAUUCAGAAAUGACUCUAAUGCUAAUACUCACGUUCCUGUUAACACAAGUAGCACCUUUUGACUAUAUAGUACACAGUUAUAGAAGAGAAAUGAUUUAUAAUCACGCUAUCAGGUGUCACCCAGAUGAGGAUGGGUUCCCUUUUGAGUAUGAUUCUUCUCAAGGUUUCUUCCUGAUGUCCUCUCAGGGAGAUUUUCCUUGCCACCUCCCCUCUAGCUUGCUCAUUAGGGGCAAAUUUAUACAUUUUAAAUUUCUAUCUGGAAUUUAUAUAUUUCUGUAAAGCUGUUUUGUGACAAUGACCUUUGUUUAAAGUGCUAUACAAAUAAAAUUGAAUUGAAUUGCAUUGAAUUUUUCUAACAGUAUAAAAAUGUUUCUUUUUCCACAGCACAAUUAAAACAAGAACCAGCCCAAACACAAGCCAGACACAGUACUUAGAGUUCUAGCACUUCCUUGAUCAUCCUGAGAGACAGUGGUGGCGCAACUACAACACAUCUUAAAUUAAACAUGUGUAUAUGUGCUUGAAAUAACAUACUUCCUAAUUCUGAUUGGCCAUGUUUAUUUUUAAUGGGUUUAUAUUGGCUGCAGUUAAACUGCUUCCAAAAUAAUGUCUACUGUUAAAAACUUUAUGCAAAUAAAAUGAUUGAAUUGAAAAA
Molecule: long non-coding RNA, 11330 nt
Organism: Pangasianodon hypophthalmus (striped catfish)
Lineage: Eukaryota; Metazoa; Chordata; Actinopteri; Siluriformes; Pangasiidae
Exons: 2
Source: RefSeq, a predicted model, not a curated record